AUAUCAAUAAGCGGAGGAAAAGAAACCAACAGGGAUUGCCUCAGUAACGGCGAGUGAAGCGGCAACAGCUCAAAUUUGAAAUCUGGCUCUUUCAGGGUCCGAGUUGUAAUUUGUAGAAGAUGCUUCGGGUGUGGCUCCAGCCUAAGUUCCUUGGAACAGGACGUCAUAGAGGGUGAGAAUCCCGUAUGCGGCUGGUGGCUUUCGCCCAUGUGAAGCUCUUUCGACGAGUCGAGUUGUUUGGGAAUGCAGCUCAAAAUGGGUGGUAAAUUUCAUCUAAAGCUAAAUAUUGGCCAGAGACCGAUAGCGCACAAGUAGAGUGAUCGAAAGAUGAAAAGCACUUUGGAAAGAGAGUUAAACAGUACGUGAAAUUGUUGAAAGGGAAGCGUUUGCAACCAGACUUGCGCGCAGCUGAUCAUCCAGGGUUCUCCCUGGUGCACUCGGUUGCGCUCAGGCCAGCAUCAGUUCAGGUGGUUGGAUAAAGGCCUUGGGAAUGUAGCUUCUUUCGGGGAGUGUUAUAGCCCUCGGUGCAAUGCAGCCUACCUGGACUGAGGACCGCGCUUCGGCUAGGAUGCUGGCGUAAUGGUUGUAAACGA
Molecule: ribosomal RNA, 593 nt
Filed under: uncultured fungus
Lineage: Eukaryota; Fungi
Description: eukaryotic LSU rRNA
Rfam family: Eukaryotic large subunit ribosomal RNA
Source: RNAcentral